UACGAAGGGGGCUAGCGUUGCUCGGAAUUACUGGGCGUAAAGGGCGCGUAGGCGGAUCGUUAAGUCAGAGGUGAAAUCCCAGGGCUCAACCCUGGAACUGCCUUUGAUACUGGCGAUCUUGAGUAUGAGAGAGGUAUGUGGAACUCCGAGUGUAGAGGUGAAAUUCGUAGAUAUUCGGAAGAACACCAGUGGCGAAGGCGACAUACUGGCUCAUUACUGACGCUGAGGCGCGAAAGCGUGGGGAGCAAACAGGAUUAGAUACCCCGGUAGUCC
RNAcentral lists this ribosomal RNA (273 nucleotides) under uncultured bacterium. RNAcentral describes it as "partial 16S ribosomal RNA". It matches the Rfam family "Bacterial small subunit ribosomal RNA", at positions 524 to 796 of the family's 1533-position model. The record is from RNAcentral.